UGCGACCCCAGGUCAGGCGG
This 20-nucleotide ribosomal RNA is filed under the name Orobanche caryophyllacea. RNAcentral describes it as "partial 28S ribosomal RNA". The record is from RNAcentral. Lineage: Eukaryota; Viridiplantae; Streptophyta; Magnoliopsida; Lamiales; Orobanchaceae. RNAcentral also lists the same sequence under 5 other names.